AAGUAAAAGUNGUAACAAGGUUUCCGUAGGUGAACCUGCGGAAGGAUCAUUAAAAAAAAAGA
This 62-nucleotide ribosomal RNA is filed under the name Phillipsia domingensis. Its description in RNAcentral is "partial 18S rRNA". The stretch from base 1 to 52 matches the Rfam family "Eukaryotic small subunit ribosomal RNA", at positions 1780 to 1831 of the family's 1831-position model. The record is from RNAcentral. Lineage: Eukaryota; Fungi; Ascomycota; Pezizomycetes; Pezizales; Sarcoscyphaceae.